CCGCCCGCACUUUCCCGGCGGAAAGUGGCUCGCCCGCGAGGGCGUGUGCGCAGGGGCGGGGCGGGGCGGGCCGGGAGCUGACCAGAGAGGGCGGCGUGGGGUCUCCUCCCCGCGGCGCGCCCGUCCUCCUCCUCCUCCUCCUCCUCCUCCUCGGGGCCUCGCUUCCUUCUCCUCCUCCGCACGCUCCGCCGCCCCUGUCCAGCCCCUCUGCCCCAAUGUGGGGGCAAGUGCUCACGGAGAGGCGCCGGGGCUCGGAACCCGGCCGGGCUCGGGCAAGCAGUUGCGAAACGCGCCGCGCCGGGGCAGGGGGCGGGCGGAGGGGCGCCGGGGGCGGAGGCCGCGCAGCCGGCGGCGGACGGCGCGAGCCCGGCGGCAGCUGUCAGCGGGCGCGGGGCGCGGGCGCGCCAGGGCUCGGCCGAGCGUGCGCGCCGGGGCCGGCUUCCCUCCCGCGGGCGCCGCGGCGGCCUCGCGCUCCCCACGAGCCCCGCGCCGCUGCGAGCCCGCGCGGCCAGGAAAAGCGCGCCCGGCUCGGGCGAAGCCUCGUCGGCGCCCCCGGCCUCCGCCUCCUCCGCGGCGCCGCCCCCGCGCCCGCGCCGAGCCCCCUCCUCGCUGGUCCCACACCUCCCUCUAGCGACUCCAGCCGCGUCCCUUCGCGGCUCUCCCGCCUCCCUCCCCCGCGCCCGGGUCUCACUGGCGCACACCCGUCUAGGGAGAGACCAGGUGGGUGGUAGAGGAUGUGCGGGGGAGCAGCCCGGAGAGGAUUUAGGUGAAUGAGGCGAGACGUCCAGAUCACCCAGUUCCACCCGCAAGGAGGCUCCUGCCCCAAUCGGGGGCUGACUUGGCGGGAAGAUGCGGGGAGCUCGUGCACUGCCCGGGGCUGCCGCCGGGGGUCGCGGAGGCCCCCGGCCCUGCUGCGGGCGCCGGGCACCAGGGACCACUCCACGCCGGCUCCCGCGCCGCCGUGGCCGGGUGGCAGGGCGAGGGGCGCAGCCCCUUCCCCUCGGGGCCGCUCGGCGUCGGCACAGCGGAGGCCGGAUGUGGGCACCUGCCUGCUUCCAGAGAGGGGUCCCAGCCGCGCCCGCCCCGCCCGGCGCGGGUCUCUCCCUCCCUCGCAGCCCCUUUAGGAGGGGCGACGCCCGCCGUGCGCCACGUUUCACUUCUGAUAUGACUGCCACCCGCUCUCCACCGCCCCCGCCGUGCACCGGGCUGGCUUGCCCAGACUCUGGCAAUCCCCAAAGGCCUCUGCCGCGGCCCAGAGAGCUAAGAGCAUCAAAGCAAAAACGCCGCCGCUCAGUCACACCUUCCCUUCCGAGCAACUCCCCUGCAACCUCGGUAAGUUCUGAUAGUAAGAUGGGUUCUCGCGAGAUUUCCUGCUCCGGCGGCGGGGGCGGGGUAGUGGGAAGGUUAGCCGUUGGUCACGCGACCUGAUGAGGGCUGACGUCACUCGCAUCACAUGAACACGUCUAGCCUGUUCGCAUCGCAAAGGCGAAAGGAAAAGGAGAGGUCGUGUGUGUUCUGCUUGCAUAGGCUUAAAGAUCUGGCCAGUUAGUGGCAUAUGAGUAUGCUCCGUAAAUGGCUCUCUGGAAAACCGCUCCACAGUUCCGGAAUACGUCCUACUUGUUAGCAAAUUAAUCAUGCAAAACUCAGGAUCGGGGGACUGGCCCCGUGGCCGAGUGGUUAAGUUCGUGCGCUCCGCUGCAGGCUGCCCAGUGUUUCAUUGGUUCGAAUCCUGGGCGCGGACAUGGCACUGCUCAUCAGACCACGCUGAGGCGGCGUCCCACAUGCCACAACUAGAAGGACCCACAACAAAGAAUAUACAACUAUGUACCGGGGGCUUUGGGGAGAAAGGGGAAAGAUAGAAUCUUUAAAAAAAAAAAAAAAAAUCAGGAUCGGCCAGUGUAUUGCUUCCAGCUCCUAACUUUCCACUUUGCUGAGGUGGAAGCAAAGCAUUCAUAAUGUUAUCUUCUUUUAAAGAUUACCAUUUAAUACCUGAAAGCCAAUCACAGCAAACAAAUGAGGACUGAGGGGUGAGGAGUGGGAGUUUGGGGGAGUUGCAAAGUAGUUGUAAGCAAAUUCCUAUUACUACCUAGAUUGCCAGGUUUCAGUCAGAUGAAAUCAUGUUAGUGCCAGGACCUGGUGGAAAUCUAGCUCUGAAUGUACCCUAUCCUUUUUUGUGAUAGCAUCAACUGACAAACAGCAGCAGAGAGCUAGAAGACAGACUGAAAAUGAUCACUAUAGACAAAUACAACAUGAGAACCAAAGAUGGAAAGUAUCUUCUUUCUCUUUCUUUUGGCCACUUGAAAUUAACAAUUGCAAGACUUCAGUAGUCACAGUAGGAAGGGAUAAGUUUCUAAUACUUAAUUAAACAAAGCAGAUGUUGACAAUCAUUGAUUUCCCUUGCUACAAAGUUACAAGACAAGAAAACAAGAAGAGAUGAUGCUUUCUCCGUAGCUCCCCAAAGUGCAGAAUCCAUCAGUAAUGAGUAGAUUUCUGUGAGAAUUUUAGCAGGGUCUGUAUUGGAGCCACUCUUCACUACAGAUUUAGAGGCAAGAAGAACAAAGCAACUUGCUGUUGCUUUUUCCAGUUAGCCUUGCCAAGGUACGAUAACUUGACCCUGUAGAGCCAGACACAAAUACAAUCUACUAGUGAGUGGAUAAUCUGUUCACCAGACCAUCCAUUUGUGCAAGAUGAAUUUACAGAUGAAGAAAUGAACUAGUAUUCAUAAAACAAGAGCUAAUACCAGGUUUCCUUUAUUUCAUCAGGUGCUGAAAGAAUUCAUUUUUCCUAAAAAUAAAAAUGAAUGUGUAAACAAAUAAGAAAAAAAGGAUAUCCACACAAUAAAGUAGUGCAUUUUCCGUUACUUCCAUGCAGAUUGGUUAGCAUACUUGAUCCUCCACAAACCUACUCAUGUACCUAACACUCUGCUAAAAGACUUGUAGCAGCAAAUUAUAUUAAAUAUGAUGUAUAAAUCAAAACAACUGUAUACAAAGUUGUGAAAUCACUAAUAAAGGAAAGAAAAUGGAUUAGCAGAUGCUGAGUCUUCCGCUGUGCACCGGUAAUGACUUUCACUUACUGCUGUUGCAACACUUAUCACACUGGCCUGUAAUGAGACGACUGGCCCCUCCGUGGCAGCCGCUGCCCCCAGCACUGCACUAGCACAGGGCUUGUGCAAUAAUAGGGACUCAAAAAUGCCUUUUGUUAAAAAAAA
This is a long non-coding RNA of Equus asinus (donkey), 3208 nucleotides long. NCBI's taxonomy places the organism in Eukaryota, Metazoa, Chordata, Mammalia, Perissodactyla, Equidae. The record is from Ensembl.